RNAcentral lists this ribosomal RNA (599 nucleotides) under Clostridioides difficile. Its description in RNAcentral is "bacterial SSU rRNA". It matches the Rfam family "Bacterial small subunit ribosomal RNA", at positions 119 to 737 of the family's 1533-position model. Lineage: Bacteria; Bacillati; Bacillota; Clostridia; Peptostreptococcales; Peptostreptococcaceae. The record is from RNAcentral.
GGGUAACCUACCCUGUACACACGGAUAACAUACCGAAAGGUAUGCUAAUACGGGAUAAUAUAUUUGAGAGGCAUCUCUUGAAUAUCAAAGGUGAGCCAGUACAGGAUGGACCCGCGUCUGAUUAGCUAGUUGGUAAGGUAACGGCUUACCAAGGCGACGAUCAGUAGCCGACCUGAGAGGGUGAUCGGCCACAUUGGAACUGAGACACGGUCCAAACUCCUACGGGAGGCAGCAGUGGGGAAUAUUGCACAAUGGGCGAAAGCCUGAUGCAGCAACGCCGCGUGAGUGAUGAAGGCCUUCGGGUCGUAAAACUCUGUCCUCAAGGAAGAUAAUGACGGUACUUGAGGAGGAAGCCCCGGCUAACUACGUGCCAGCAGCCGCGGUAAUACGUAGGGGGCUAGCGUUAUCCGGAUUUACUGGGCGUAAAGGGUGCGUAGGCGGUCUUUCAAGUCAGGAGUGAAAGGCUACGGCUCAACCGUAGUAAGCUCUUGAAACUGGGAGACUUGAGUGCAGGAGAGGAGAGUGGAAUUCCUAGUGUAGCGGUGAAAUGCGUAGAUAUUAGGAGGAACACCAGUUGCGAAGGCGGCUCUCUGGACUGU